Molecule: long non-coding RNA, 287 nt
Organism: Setaria italica (foxtail millet)
Lineage: Eukaryota; Viridiplantae; Streptophyta; Magnoliopsida; Poales; Poaceae
Exons: 2
Source: RefSeq, a predicted model, not a curated record
UGAUAAUGUUUCCGACAAUGGCGGGGCCUCAGCAGCUGGCGAUGAAGCUGCUGUCACGGAGUCAGGAUGCGACAACCCCGCGACACCUGGCUGUUGAAUCUGUUCAAUGCAAAUCAGUCUUGCCUCUUCUGCAUGCACAUGUUAAGCUUGGCUUGCUCGGUGGGAGGAGUUAAUUUCAGGACCCUGGAAUGGUAGCAGUGCAUGUUACCUGGCACAUGUUUGGUUUGACAUGCCUGAAUUUGUGGUGCAUGUUUAUUCUUUUAAAUAUCGUGUGCACAAUAUUUUCA